Molecule: small RNA, 461 nt
Filed under: uncultured Glomus
Lineage: Eukaryota; Fungi; Glomeromycota; Glomeromycetes; Glomerales; Glomeraceae
Description: SSU rRNA
Rfam family: Eukaryotic small subunit ribosomal RNA
Source: RNAcentral
AGCAGCCGCGGUAAUUCCAGCUCCAAUAGCGUAUAUUAAAGUUGUUGCAGUUAAAAAGCUCGUAGUUGAAUUUCGGGGUCAGUAGGUUGGUCGUGCCACAGGUAUGAACUGGUCUCACUGAUUCCUCCUUCCUGAUGAACCGUAAUGCCAUUAAUUUGGUGUUGCGGGGAGACUGGACUGUUACUUUGAAAAAUUAGAGUGUUUAAAGCAGGCUAACGCUUGAAUACAUUAGCAUGGAAUAAUGAAAUAGGACGUUCGGUCUUAUUUUGUUGGUUUCUAAGAUUGACGUAAUGAUUAAUAGGGAUAGUUGGGGGCAUUAGUAUUCAAUUGUCAGAGGUGAAAUUCUUGGAUUUAUUGAAGACUAACUACUGCGAAAGCAUUUGCCAAGGAUGUUUUCAUUAAUCAAGAACGAAAGUUAGGGGAUCGAAGACGAUCAGAUACCGUCGUAGUCUUAACCAUAA